CUGCGCAUGAAUGGUCAAAAUUCAUUAAUUGCAUCCGCGAUGCAUAUAAGUCCUCUAUAUAUUUAAAGAUAACUUAUGCUUGAUUAGGAGAACUAGAGGGUCAUACUUACAUGCCUUCACUUUACCUUCAUCAUGGCUCCACCAGUUAUCUUUUUUCUAUUAGCAUUUCAAAAAACCAUAUUUUCUUUUCCAUGCCUUUUUUUAUUUAUUUUCUAAACAACAAAAUGCUUAUCCAGAACACUAUCAUUUAAAAAGAUG
Molecule: long non-coding RNA, 258 nt
Filed under: Phoenix dactylifera (date palm)
Lineage: Eukaryota; Viridiplantae; Streptophyta; Magnoliopsida; Arecales; Arecaceae
Description: long non-coding RNA (PDAC_LNC004885)
Source: RNAcentral